This 344-nucleotide ribosomal RNA is filed under the name Ligia oceanica (common sea slater). Its description in RNAcentral is "partial 12S ribosomal RNA". The record is from RNAcentral. Lineage: Eukaryota; Metazoa; Arthropoda; Malacostraca; Isopoda; Ligiidae.
CUAAGGCGGUAAAAUUCACACUUAGAAACCUUGGGCAAAAAAGAGGAUUAGAUACCCUCCUAUUCUGUGGCCUAGGGUAGUAACUAGCUAUGUACUUCAAACCCAAAGGAUUUGGCGGUGAUUUAACAGCCCAGAGGAACCUGCCGCCGAUAACCCACGAAAAAUCUUACCUGAACGCUCGUAUACCGUCGUCUAGGCGGAGUUAAAAAAUAUCGCCACUAGGAUGACAGAUCAAGGUGCAGCAUAUUCAGGGGUUACAAUCCCUAUGAAAUAGGAUUUGGCAGUAAAGUUUAAUAAGCUAAGAAGAUUGUAAUAAAUCACGCACAUAUCGCCCGUCACUCUCA